This is a long non-coding RNA of Dermacentor andersoni, 399 nucleotides long. RefSeq lists it as uncharacterized. The record is from RefSeq and is a predicted model, not a curated record. Lineage: Eukaryota; Metazoa; Arthropoda; Arachnida; Ixodida; Ixodidae.
UUUAAAAAUACAUUUGCGAUGAUCUCAUUUAACUGCGUAUCGUUGAUAAAGGUGCCCACUGCUUCUCGGAGCAUCACAAGUCAGGUGGAAACGUAUUAAUGAAGAAUGAACAUUGCGCAGCUUCUGAUUAUCGCAGCCGGACUAUGUGUGCUUUCCCCUGGCGUUAAAGGAUGCUUGCCAUCAGCGCACAUCAUUCGCUGUCUUCGUACGGACUUCUAUCCAGAGGCAACUUGUCCGGAUGCUGACAGCCCAAAGUGCAGUGCAGGAACCGAUGUGUGCGCCUGUAGGCCGAAUAUGUACAGGAAUCACAGAGGGAUAUGCGUCCCGCACAGCUAUUGCUAACCGAGAAAAAAGCGGGGGUAAUUGACCGUAUUACGAAAAUAAAUAGACUCAGAUGGA